RNAcentral lists this long non-coding RNA (718 nucleotides) under Equus asinus (donkey). RNAcentral's name for it is "lncRNA (ENSEASG00005026356.1)". Lineage: Eukaryota; Metazoa; Chordata; Mammalia; Perissodactyla; Equidae. The record is from RNAcentral.
AAAUAGGCCUAGCCGAAGUGAAAGGAGGAACAAUCUCUGCUUCUGGAAAGAACAUUACAACUGAGAUGGUUUGAAGAGGAAAGGAACCUGUGACUCUCGUUGUCUCCAGGAUUUCACCAUAAAUGGAAGAAAAUGAAAAAUUCACACUCAUGUCUGACAACGGGAGACCUCUAGAGGAGAGAGCUCAGCCCACGGGAAUGGGUCACACAUUGUGAAUUAUCAGGCAUGACUGAAGGGUGCUCUGGGGCCUGGCGCAUAUGUGACCUUUGCAGUUUGAAGACAAAAUUCUCCCAAGGGCGUAGAUAAGUGAGUCAAGGAAGCUACAGCCCUUGUUAACCUGCAUUUGAGUUUUGCUUAUAAAAAUAGAACCACAAAUGGAUAUUCUUUUUCCAACUAUUCAUUUCAAAAACAAGUCUAGGUUUCUAAAGGAAAGGUUAACAGCUUUUUCAUGGGUGACAAAAUGCUUUUGAACUUUUUUGAACUAACUUGAGCCUUUUUCAAAGACUUUCCACUCUUUGCACUGACUGUUGUUGCUGUCUACUGAGCUGAGAUUGAUUGGACUGGCACAUGUCUUCUUUCCACUACAUGUGACUGUGCUGAAUGCAGGAUUAGCAUCUUGGAUUGGUGUCACCAGCACUUAGCAGAGUGCCUGCCAAAGCACAAGUGCUCAAUAAACGCUUAUUGAGUUGAAAAUGACCAUUUUACCCUCCUGGAUGGC